GCCUUUGUAGCUCAGUGGUAGAGCAGCUGACUUGUAAUCAGCAGGCCGGGGGUUCAAAUCCCUCCAAAGGCU
RNAcentral lists this transfer RNA (72 nucleotides) under Candidatus Woesearchaeota archaeon. RNAcentral describes it as "tRNA-Thr". It matches the Rfam family "tRNA". From Rfam's summary of the family: Transfer RNA (tRNA) molecules are approximately 80 nucleotides in length. Their secondary structure includes four short double-helical elements and three loops (D, anti-codon, and T loops). Further hydrogen bonds mediate the characteristic L-shaped molecular structure. tRNAs have two regions of fundamental functional importance: the anti-codon, which is responsible for specific mRNA codon recognition, and the 3' end, to which the tRNAs corresponding amino acid is attached (by aminoacyl-tRNA synthetases). tRNAs cope with the degeneracy of the genetic code in two manners: having more than one tRNA (with a specific anti-codon) for a particular amino acid; and 'wobble' base-pairing, i.e. permitting non-standard base-pairing at the 3rd anti-codon position. Lineage: Archaea; Nanobdellati; Candidatus Woesearchaeota. The record is from RNAcentral.